UUGGGAAUAUGCCUUAUGGUGGGGGACAACAGUUGGAAACGACUGCUAAUACCGCAUGAUGUCUACGGACCAAAGUGGGGGACCUUCGGGCCUCACGCCAUAAGAUUAGCCCAAGUGGGAUUAGCUAGUUGGUGAGGUAAUGGCUCACCAAGGCGACGAUCCCUAGCUGGUUUGAGAGGAUGAUCAGCCACACUGGGACUGAGACACGGCCCAGACUCCUACGGGAGGCAGCAGUGGGGAAUAUUGCACAAUGGGCGCAAGCCUGAUGCAGCCAUGCCGCGUGUGUGAAGAAGGCCUUCGGGUUGUAAAGCACUUUCAGUAAGGAGGAAAGGUUAAGUGUUAAUAGCACUUAGCUGUGACGUUACUUACAGAAGAAGCACCGGCUAACUCCGUGCCAGCAGCCGCGGUAAUACGGAGGGUGCGAGCGUUAAUCGGAAUUACUGGGCGUAAAGCGUACGCAGGCGGUUUGUUAAGCGAGAUGUGAAAGCCCCGGGCUCAACCUGGGAACUGCAUUUCGAACUGGCAAACUAGAGUGUGAUAGAGGGUGGUAGAAUUUCAGGUGUAGCGGUGAAAUGCGUAGAGAUCUGAAGGAAUACCGAUGGCGAAGGCAGCCACCUGGGUCAACACUGACGCUCA
RNAcentral lists this ribosomal RNA (636 nucleotides) under Pseudoalteromonas shioyasakiensis. Its description in RNAcentral is "bacterial SSU rRNA". It matches the Rfam family "Bacterial small subunit ribosomal RNA", at positions 117 to 749 of the family's 1533-position model. The record is from RNAcentral. Lineage: Bacteria; Pseudomonadati; Pseudomonadota; Gammaproteobacteria; Alteromonadales; Pseudoalteromonadaceae.